UCGAACGGGCCGUAGCAAUACGGUCAGUGGCGAACGGGUGAAUAACGCGUGGGAACCUACCCCGGAGUUCGGAAUAACCGCGGGAAACUGCGGCUAAUACCGGCUACGACCUGAGGGUGAAAGGAGCAAUCCGCUCUGGGAGGGGCCCGCGUCCGAUUAGCUAGUUGGUGGGGUAACGGCCUACCAAGGCGAUGAUCGGUAGCUGGUCUGAGAGGAUGAUCAGCCACACUGGAACUGCGACACGGUCCAGACUCCUACGGGAGGCAGCAGUGGGGAAUAUUGGACAAUGGGGGAAACCCUGAUCCAGCAAUGCCGCGUGGGUGAUGAAGGCCUUCGGGUUGUAAAGCCCUUUUGGCGGGGACGAUGAUGACGGUACCCGCAGAAUAAGCCCCGGCUAACUUCGUGCCAGCAGCCGCGGUAAUACGAAGGGGGCUAGCGUUGUUCGGAAUUACUGGGCGUAAAAGGCGCGUAGGCGGCUCUGUGCGUCGAGCGUGAAAGGCCUGGGCUCAACCCGGGAAUGGCGCUCGAUACGAUGGGGCUAGAGUGCAGGAGAGGAUGGUGGAAUUCCCAGUGUAGAGGUGAAAUUCGUAGAUAUUGGGAAGACACCGGUGGCGAAGCGGCCAUCUGGACUGCAACUGACGCUGAAGCGCGAAAGCGUGGGG
This 662-nucleotide ribosomal RNA is filed under the name uncultured bacterium. RNAcentral describes it as "bacterial SSU rRNA". It matches the Rfam family "Bacterial small subunit ribosomal RNA", at positions 62 to 766 of the family's 1533-position model. The record is from RNAcentral.